AUGAGAUCUCACCCUCUCAUUGAUUUGUUCAUACCAACUAUCGACAGCGAGCACGGCAUAUGCUACACCCAUCCUGAGAAACUUCCAGGUAUCACACUGAGUGGCCUAAGCAAGCAUUUAUUCCAGCACAAUUGCAGGGCAUUCAAAAGGGGCACGUGGACGCGUCGCAAGAUACAGUCGGAGUGCGGCAUGCACGCGAUGUGGCACAAGACAGCGAAUACCUUGCCGGUGGUGGUCAACGGCCGGCAGACAAGGAGCAAAAAGGUUCUGGUGCUGCACACCAACAAGAACUUCGACCAGCAGAGGACCAACCGGGUGAUGCACCGGUACCACCUCGGGGACCUGGAGCAAGAGAAGGAGCGGGAGCUGGUCCUCUGCAAGAUUUUCUACCAGAUAAACACUAGGGCCAGGAGUAAAAAGAUUAUAAGUUAG
Molecule: ribosomal RNA, 432 nt
Filed under: Triticum aestivum (bread wheat)
Lineage: Eukaryota; Viridiplantae; Streptophyta; Magnoliopsida; Poales; Poaceae
Description: partial small subunit ribosomal RNA
Source: RNAcentral